GUGCCUGACACAUAGUAGACAUAAAUCAGGCUGAAGAAUGACCAUGAUGGAGAAUUGAGAAACAAGACCAUCUGCAUCAACAGGAAUUUGGUAGCUGAUCUAGGAAUGCAGCCUGAAGAAAUCAGCACCUCCUAGAUACAGAAUGAACAGAAGGGCUCAGAAGAAAUAUGAGGACAAAUAGGUAUGCUAGACUGAGGCAGAAGAGGCUUGAAUAUUGACUUCAUCUUUUAAGAUAACUCCCCAGGUAAGACAUGAUUCCAAGCAAUGGAGGAAGAACUUCAUCAGAAAAUGAAGUAGUGGAUAUGUCAGCUGACAAGGGAGGGACACAUAGGUGUGAAUAAGAGGUUGGAGUUUAAAGUAUUUUGUGUCUUCUGAAGCCUUUUAUUUAUACCUGUUCUAAUUUAUAGGGUCUUACUUUUUCUUCAUCAAUACCGUAACUUCCAUAUAAAAGGAAGUGGUGAAGCUAUAACUUCCGUGGACGUAAUUCAACAAAUUACUGCUGGAUGCAGUGGCUCACCCAUUUUGGGAGGCCAAGGCAGGAGGAUCACUUGAGUCUAGGAGUUUGAUACCAGCCCAGGCAACAUAGCAAGACUCCAUCUCUAAAAAAAAAAAAAAAUUAGCUGGACAUGGUGGCAUGCACCUGUAGUCUCAGUUACUUAGGAGGCUGGGGUGAGAGGAUCACUUGAGCCUGGGUGGUUGAGUCUGCAGUGAGCCAUGAUCAUGCCACUGCACUCCAACCUGGACAACAUAGUGAGACGCUGUCUUAAAAAAAAAAGAUAAAAAACCCACACAAAUUACUUGCCCACCCCCAAAGUUUGGGCUUUUUGCCACCUCUGCCCUGAAGUUUAACAGUGAAGCAAUUCUUUAGUACAUUCACAGAAAGCCUCUGGGUAUCAGUUUGUUCUUUUAGCCCAACAUUUGAGGAUAUGAGCUUAUCAUGUCCUCUCUUAUCUACUUAAUGCCACUGAAAAAAGCACCACACCAGGUCUUCAUGUUUUCAUACUUUCUUUGUUGCAGUGUGGCCUUCUGCAUCUUGCCUUCAAUGCUGUGGCCCCUCCUUAGGACCAAUUUUUGUUUUUCAGGUUUUCUAGUCACAAGCAAUAAAACUAAACCAAAUUUAAGCUGAAAAUGAGUUGAUUGGAA
RNAcentral lists this long non-coding RNA (1143 nucleotides) under Homo sapiens (human). RNAcentral's name for it is "HSALNT0110593". Lineage: Eukaryota; Metazoa; Chordata; Mammalia; Primates; Hominidae. The record is from RNAcentral.